AGGUUGUGACCUACCGUUAAGAGAUAGAUGAAAGGAAAUUAUUGUCUCUUUCUAGAGAAAAAAAUAGAAGAGAUUCAUUAUUUGCAAAACCCAAAAUAAACAUUGAUUUUGAGGACAGAAUGCCUGAAUUCUGGUCUUAUCAUUUUCCUGGUCCUUUAGCUGCCUUGGAACCUCCUUGGAUUGGUUAUAGGAACUUGGUGAAGAAUGUGGAAAAAAUGAGGAUAAAUAACAAAUAAUUGAAAUGGUCAUGAUUUUAUUUCUUCAAAAUAGUUCUAAGAAAACAUGUAAGGCUUUCUCAGUUACUUCCUGCAGAAGACUCUGAA
RNAcentral lists this long non-coding RNA (323 nucleotides) under Bos taurus (domestic cattle). Its description in RNAcentral is "long non-coding RNA NONBTAT001194". The record is from RNAcentral. Lineage: Eukaryota; Metazoa; Chordata; Mammalia; Artiodactyla; Bovidae.